This 460-nucleotide ribosomal RNA is filed under the name uncultured bacterium. RNAcentral's name for it is "partial 16S ribosomal RNA". It matches the Rfam family "Bacterial small subunit ribosomal RNA", at positions 338 to 795 of the family's 1533-position model. The record is from RNAcentral.
CCUACGGGAGGCAGCAGUGAGGAAUAUUGGUCAAUGGACGAGAGUCUGAACCAGCCAAGUAGCGUGAAGGACGACUGCCCUAUGGGUUGUAAACUUCUUUUAUAUGGGAAUAAAAUGUUCCACGUGUGGGAUUCUGUAUGUACCAUAUGAAUAAGGAUCGGCUAACUCCGUGCCAGCAGCCGCGGUAAUACGGAGGAUCCGAGCGUUAUCCGGAUUUAUUGGGUUUAAGGGGAGCGUAGGUGGAUUGUUAAGUCAGUUGUGAAAGUUUGCGGCUCAACCGUUAAAUUGCAGUUGAAACUGGCAGUCUUGAGUACAGUAGAGGUGGGCGGAAUUCGUGGUGUAGCGGUGAAAUGCUUAGAUAUCACGAAGAACUCCGAUUGCGAAGGCAGCUCACUGGACUGCAACUGACACUGAGGCUCGAAAGUGUGGGUAUCAAACAGGAUUAGAUACCCUUGUAGUC